AAAUUUAUUUUUUAUAUUUAAUUAUAUAUAAAAUUAAAGUAUAGGAGGGAUUAGCUUCUUAUAAUAUAGAUUAAUAAAAAGUUAUAUAAAUUUUAAAUACUUUAAUUAGUCUUAAAAGUAGAUAUAUUUAUAAAGUGUUUUAACUAAAUUUUUUUUAUUAUAUUAUUUAUAAUAACUUUUUUGAAAUAUUAAAAAAUUAAUUUUAAUAAGGAAAAUUUUAAUAUAAUGAUUUUAUUAGUAAAAUUUAAUGUUAAUUUAAAAAAUAAAAUAUUAUAUAUUGUUUAAUAAUUUUAUAAUAAUAUAAAGGAAUUCAGCAAAAAAUUUCUUUGCCUGUUUAUCAAAAACAUGUCUGUUUGAAGGUAUAAAAAGUUUAACCUGCCCACUGAUAAAUUUUUUAAAGGGCCGCGGUAUCCUGACUGUGCAAAGGUAGCAUAAUCGUUAGUUUUUUAAUUGGAAUCUUGUAUGAAUGGUUUGACAAAAGAAAAUCUGUCUUUAUAAUUAUUUAUUGAAUUUAACUUUUAAGUGAAAAGGCUUAAAUAAAUUAAAAAGACGAUAAGACCCUAUAAAGCUUAAUAUUAAAUUUUUAUUUAAUUAAAUUUUGAAUUAUAAUAAAAAUUUGGUAAAUAAAUUUUAUUUUGUUGGGGUGAUAAUGGUAAAAUGAUUAUUAACUGUUAAUUUUUUUAGACAAAAAUAAGUGAAUAAGUGAUUUAUUAAUAAAGGAUCCUGUAUUAAAGAUUAAAAGUUUAAGUUACUUUAGGGAUAACAGCGUUAUUUUUUUUGAGAGUUCUUAUCGAGAAAAAAGUUUGCGACCUCGAUGUUGAAUUAAAAUAUCUAUAUAAUUGUAGCAGUUAUAUAAGAAGGUCUGUUCGACCUUUAAAACAUUUACAUGAUUUGAGUUCAGACCGGCGUAAGCCAGGUCGGUUUCUAUCUUUUAAUAUUUAAAAAUUAUUUUAGUACGAAAGGAUUGAAUAAUUAAAAUUAUUUUUAAUAAUUGGAUGA
Molecule: ribosomal RNA, 999 nt
Filed under: Orisarma sinense
Lineage: Eukaryota; Metazoa; Arthropoda; Malacostraca; Decapoda; Sesarmidae
Description: Sesarmops sinensis 16S ribosomal RNA
Rfam family: Bacterial large subunit ribosomal RNA (bases 759-919)
Source: RNAcentral